CUCAGGACGAACGCUGGCGGCGUGCUUAACACAUGCAAGUCGAACGGUGAAGCCCAGCUUGCUGGGUGGAUCAGUGGCGAACGGGUGAGUAACACGUGAGGAACCUGCCCCUGACUUCGGGAUAAGCCUUGGAAACGGGGUCUAAUACCGGAUAUGACACGCCCUCGCAUGAGGAGUGUGUGGAAAGAUUUAUCGGUUGGGGAUGGUCUCGCGGCCUAUCAGCUUGUUGGUGGGGUAAUGGCCUACCAAGGCGACGACGGGUAGCCGGCCUGAGAGGGCGACCGGCCACACUGGGACUGAGACACGGCCCAGACUCCUACGGGAGGCAGCAGUGGGGAAUAUUGCACAAUGGGCGCAAGCCUGAUGCAGCGACGCCGCGUGAGGGAUGAAGGCCUUCGGGUUGUAAACCUCUUUCAGCAGGGAAGAAGCGAAAGUGACGGUACCUGCAGAAGAAGCGCCGGCUAACUACGUGCCAGCAGCCGCGGUAAUACGUAGGGCGCAAGCGUUGUCCGGAAUUAUUGGGCGUAAAGAGCUCGUAGGCGGUUUGUCGCGUCUGGUGUGAAAACUCAAGGCUCAACCUUGAGCUUGCAUCGGGUACGGGCAGACUAGAGUGCGGUAGGGGUGACUGGAAUUCCUGGUGUAGCGGUGGAAUGCGCAGAUAUCAGGAGGAACACCGAUGGCGAAGGCAGGUCACUGGGCCGCAACUGACGCUGAGGAGCGAAAGCAUGGGGAGCGAACAGGAUUAGAUACCCUGGUAGUCCAUGCCGUAAACGUUGGGCACUAGGUGUGGGGCUCAUUCCACGAGUUCCGUGCCGCAGCAAACGCAUUAA
RNAcentral lists this ribosomal RNA (830 nucleotides) under Cellulomonadaceae bacterium MOLA 1528. RNAcentral describes it as "bacterial SSU rRNA". It matches the Rfam family "Bacterial small subunit ribosomal RNA", at positions 23 to 863 of the family's 1533-position model. Lineage: Bacteria; Bacillati; Actinomycetota; Actinomycetes; Micrococcales; Cellulomonadaceae. The record is from RNAcentral.